Molecule: ribosomal RNA, 465 nt
Filed under: uncultured Klebsiella sp.
Lineage: Bacteria; Pseudomonadati; Pseudomonadota; Gammaproteobacteria; Enterobacterales; Enterobacteriaceae
Description: bacterial SSU rRNA
Rfam family: Bacterial small subunit ribosomal RNA
Source: RNAcentral
CCUACGGGGGGCUGCAGUGGGGAAUAUUGCACAAUGGGCGCAAGCCUGAUGCAGCCAUGCCGCGUGUGUGAAGAAGGCCUUCGGGUUGUAAAGCACUUUCAGCGGGGAGGAAGGCGUUAAGGUUAAUAACCUUGUCGAUUGACGUUACCCGCAGAAGAAGCACCGGCUAACUCCGUGCCAGCAGCCGCGGUAAUACGGAGGGUGCAAGCGUUAAUCGGAAUUACUGGGCGUAAAGCGCACGCAGGCGGUCUGUCAAGUCGGAUGUGAAGUCCCCGGGCUCAACCUGGGAACUGCAUUCGAAACUGGCAGGCUAGAGUCUUGUAGAGGGGGGUAGAAUUCCAGGUGUAGCGGUGAAAUGCGUAGAGAUCUGGAGGAAUACCGGUGGCGAAGGCGGCCCCCUGGACAAAGACUGACGCUCAGGUGCGAAAGCGUGGGGAGCAAACAGGAUUAGAUACCCCAGUAGUC